Molecule: transfer RNA, 89 nt
Filed under: Dreissena polymorpha
Lineage: Eukaryota; Metazoa; Mollusca; Bivalvia; Myida; Dreissenidae
Rfam family: tRNA
About the family: Transfer RNA (tRNA) molecules are approximately 80 nucleotides in length. Their secondary structure includes four short double-helical elements and three loops (D, anti-codon, and T loops). Further hydrogen bonds mediate the characteristic L-shaped molecular structure. tRNAs have two regions of fundamental functional importance: the anti-codon, which is responsible for specific mRNA codon recognition, and the 3' end, to which the tRNAs corresponding amino acid is attached (by aminoacyl-tRNA synthetases). tRNAs cope with the degeneracy of the genetic code in two manners: having more than one tRNA (with a specific anti-codon) for a particular amino acid; and 'wobble' base-pairing, i.e. permitting non-standard base-pairing at the 3rd anti-codon position.
Source: Rfam by way of RNAcentral
GCCGGAAUAGCUCAGUUGGGAGAGCGUUAGACUUAAGUUGUUUACGCAACAGUCAUCAAAUGCCCCCGGUUCAAUCCUGGGUUCCGGCA